AUUCCAGCUCCAAUAGCGUAUAUUUAAGUUGUUGCAGUUAGAAAGCUCGUAGUUGGAUUUCGGAUGGGUUUGACCGGUCCGCCUUUGGUGUGCACUGGUCGCGCCUAUCUUGCUGUCGGGGACGCGCUCCUGGCCUUAAUUGGCUGGGACGCGGAGUCGGCGAUGUUACUUUGAAAAAAUUAGAGUGUUCAAAGCAGGCUUAUGCCGUUGAAUAUAUUAGCAUGGAAUAAUGGAAUAGGACUUUUUCCUCUUCUGUUGGUCUGAGGGGUUCGAGUAAUGAUUAAUAGGGAUAGUUGGGGGCAUUAGUACUUUGCUGUCAGAGGUGAAAUUCUCGGAUUUGCAAAAGACUAACUUAUGCGAAAGCAUUUGCCAAGGAUGUUUUCAUCA
Molecule: ribosomal RNA, 387 nt
Filed under: Pyramimonadales sp.
Lineage: Eukaryota; Viridiplantae; Chlorophyta; Pyramimonadophyceae; Pyramimonadales
Description: partial small subunit ribosomal RNA
Rfam family: Eukaryotic small subunit ribosomal RNA
Source: RNAcentral